UACAGAGGUCCCAAGCGUUGUUCGGAAUUACUGGGCGUAAAGGGCGCGUAGGCGGCCCGCUAAGUCGAACGUGAAAUCCCCGGGCUCAACCCGGGAACUGCGUCCGAUACUGGCAGGCUUGAAUCCGGGAGAGGGAUGUGGAAUUCCAGGUGUAGCGGUGAAAUGCGUAGAUAUCUGGAGGAACACCGGUGGCGAAGGCGGCAUCCUGGACCGGUAUUGACGCUGAGGCGCGAAAGCCAGGGGAGCAAACGGG
RNAcentral lists this ribosomal RNA (253 nucleotides) under uncultured bacterium. Its description in RNAcentral is "partial 16S ribosomal RNA". It matches the Rfam family "Bacterial small subunit ribosomal RNA", at positions 524 to 776 of the family's 1533-position model. The record is from RNAcentral.